CUAAAAAUGAGAUAGGAAGAAGUAAUCAUGUUUGCUUCAUCUCCAACCAUAAGAGAAGUAACCCAGCAGGUCGAGGGACACGGCUCCUCUGCCGUGCGCUAGGUGACGUCGGGCCACUGACAUGUGGGCCAGGUUUCCAACAGGCCCACAUGUCAGUGGUAGAACGGCAGGCUGCCAAACGGUAGAGGAGGUGGAGACGUUGAGUACAGUUUUCGAUUUUUGUUCCCGCCAAGGGGUUUGAUUAUUUCGCAACUCAGACAAUUGUACAUAUUACAUGUCUCUCUUAUUGGUUUUGUCCCCUUUUCACACAUUAUGUGCCAGGAGUGCAAAUUACAGAUGAAGACGUGCCACAUGCAUCUCACGAAUCAAAGCAUAUGAGCCUGCCUUCUCAAUCAGCGAUUCUUGCUUCAUGGAUCAUGCCUACCCGAGCAAUUCAGACAGUCUAC
This 446-nucleotide long non-coding RNA is filed under the name Triticum aestivum (bread wheat). RNAcentral's name for it is "long non-coding RNA (TAES_LNC001028)". The record is from RNAcentral. Lineage: Eukaryota; Viridiplantae; Streptophyta; Magnoliopsida; Poales; Poaceae.